This is a long non-coding RNA of Uranotaenia lowii, 952 nucleotides long. RefSeq lists it as uncharacterized. Lineage: Eukaryota; Metazoa; Arthropoda; Insecta; Diptera; Culicidae. The record is from RefSeq and is a predicted model, not a curated record. The transcript has 3 exons.
AAAACAAACAUCUUUAUCUGUGAACUUUAAACGAAGAGGAAAGUGCUUAGCAUUCGACCAAGGCUUAAAGACAACCAGCGGGACAAUCGUCCGGUUUUGUCAGAUUCAAUGAGCGAUUGAGCCCAUCUGAAUCGGAACAUCCGGAGAUAUUCGAAGGGCGCGUUCAAGAUUCACAACCGAAGGGAAAAACAAGAAACGUUAUGGUGCCGAGAAGAGUUUACGGCAAAAGUGCUUUGGAUGAGUGUGUCAAACAAAUUAAAAACAAAACAAUCCCAAGCAACAUUUUAAACACCUCAAGGUUUUAUUAAUUAAAACGUAGGUUUUUUAAUGGGAUUGAAAUAGCGUCCUUGGCUGUGUAGCAUAUUUUCAGAAGAGCUCUAUAUAAAUUGGCUGCAGGAUAGUUACAAAACCAUAACACAACCUUCUAAUAAAACUCAACAUGAAUUCAGCAAGAGUUCUAUAAGUGAUUUUUAUUUGGGUUUACAAGACAGCUAUACAGCACUUACAAAACCUUUCGGUGCAACCUAAAUUCGAUCAAUUUAAGACGUCAAAAUUUUAAAUCAAUUUGGUCGUAUAAAAAGCUUCUGCAAGACCAAAACCAAAACGAAAUGUCAAAAGUUUGUAUACGAUGGUAAGAACAAGAAGACAUAAUUUUGUUUUCUCAUCCAUUCGUAACACUUAGAAGGUCAUAUUCGGAGUUAUGCAGCCAGUAAGUGCAUCUGUUGUCUAAACUGGUCGUCCGCAAUUCGGUGGUUCUGUCCCGGACAUACAACCAUUCCCACAUUGUCCGGGAGUUCCCCUUGAUCGAUUUGCCGGUUCCGGAGGAUGGGUUUUCAAAUUACACCGCCGGUUCAAUGCUGUGUUGGCUGCCGGAAUUGCCAGCAUUUAAAAACCUUGAAGUGAAGCAAAUAAUAAAUUAGUGUAAAUGGUGUUUACUUUUAUUUGAAGUUGU